CCUACGGGCGGCAGCAGUGGGGAAUAUUGGACAAUGGGGGGAACCCUGAUCCAGCGACGCCGCGUGAGUGAAGAAGUAUUUCGGUAUGUAAAGCUCUUUCAGAAGGGAAGAAAACGACGGUACCUCACUAAGAAUCCCCGACUAACUACGUCCCAGCAGCCGCGGUAAUACUUAGGGGGCAAGCGUUAUCAGGAUUUACUGGGUGUAAAGGGAGCGUAGGCGGUGCAGCAAGUCUGAUGUGAAAGGUAGGGGCCCAACCCCGGGACUGCAUUGGAAACUGUUGAACUGGAGUACUGGAGAGGUAAGCGGAAUUCCUGGUGUAGCGGUGGAAUGCGUAGAUAUUGGGAGGAACACCAGUGGCGAAGGCGGAUUGCUGGACAGUAACUGACGCUGAGGCGCGAAAGCGUGGGGAGCAAACAGGAGUAGAUACCCCAGUAGUC
RNAcentral lists this ribosomal RNA (440 nucleotides) under uncultured bacterium. Its description in RNAcentral is "partial 16S ribosomal RNA". It matches the Rfam family "Bacterial small subunit ribosomal RNA", at positions 338 to 795 of the family's 1533-position model. The record is from RNAcentral.